RNAcentral lists this ribosomal RNA (497 nucleotides) under uncultured bacterium. RNAcentral's name for it is "partial 16S ribosomal RNA". It matches the Rfam family "Bacterial small subunit ribosomal RNA", at positions 28 to 507 of the family's 1533-position model. The record is from RNAcentral.
GAUGAACGCUGGCGGCGUGCCUAAUACAUGCAAGUCGAGCGAACGGACGAGAAGCUUGCUUCUCUGAUGUUAGCGGCGGACGGGUGAGUAACACGUGGAUAACCUACCUAUAAGACUGGGAUAACUUCGGGAAACCGGAGCUAAUACCGGAUAAUAUUUUGAACCGCAUGGUUCAAAAGUGAAAGACGGUCUUGCUGUCACUUAUAGAUGGAUCCGCGCUGCAUUAGCUAGUUGGUAAGGUAACGGCUUACCAAGGCAACGAUGCAUAGACGACCUGAGAGGGUGAUCGGCCACACGGGAACUGAGACACGGUCCAGACUCCUACGGGAGGCAGCAGUAGGGAAUCUUACGCAAUGGGCGAAAGCAUGACGGAGCAACGCCGCGUGAGUGAUGAAGGUCUUCGGAUCGUAAAACUCUGUUAUUAGGGAAGAACAUAUGUGUAAGUAACUGUGCACAUCUUGACGGUACCUAAUCAGAAAGCCACGGCUAACUACGUG